UACGUAGGGGGCAAGCGUUGUCCGGAUUUAUUGGGCGUAAAGAGCGUGUAGGCGGCCAGAUAGGUCAGCUGUGAAAACUCGAGGCUCAACCUCGAGAUGUCGGCUGAAACCAUCUGGCUAGAGUCCGGAAGAGGAGAAUGGAAUUCCCGGUGUAGCGGUGAAAUGCGCAGAUAUCGGGAAGAACACCCGUGGCGAAGGCGGUUCUCUGGGACGGUACUGACGCUGAGACGCGAAAGCGUGGGUAGCAAACAGG
This 253-nucleotide ribosomal RNA is filed under the name uncultured bacterium. RNAcentral's name for it is "partial 16S ribosomal RNA". It matches the Rfam family "Bacterial small subunit ribosomal RNA", at positions 524 to 776 of the family's 1533-position model. The record is from RNAcentral.